ACACUUCGUCCUUAAUCAACACCGCCAACCAGCCACCGAUCACCGCCGCGACACUGCGAUAAUAUGAGUUUGUUGCUGCAAUCUGAGUUUCCUCCUCCUUUGUAAUCUGAGUUUUCGCCUCACCUGUCUUCUCUCCCCCGACGUCCGUUUGAGGUACGUCACCGGCCAUCAUCAUGGAAAACCGUGCGUUCUCACUCUCUCCAUUCGGAAUCUGGUCGUAUUCACCAGCGUUGGUAACGGAGACGUCGUCGCCAGUCAUUUCUUCAACGGAGACGAUUACGGCGGUGUUGGAAUGGAUGAGAUCUGCCAUUGUUAAACACCGUACGAGUUUGAUACACAAGAGAUUUGUUCUAUAGUGUGCAGGGAAGGGAAAAAAAAGGGUUGCAACCACGUACAGGGAAAGGAAGGAAC
This 411-nucleotide long non-coding RNA is filed under the name Medicago truncatula (barrel medic). RNAcentral describes it as "long non-coding RNA (MTRU_LNC008024)". The record is from RNAcentral. Lineage: Eukaryota; Viridiplantae; Streptophyta; Magnoliopsida; Fabales; Fabaceae.